RNAcentral lists this non-coding RNA (173 nucleotides) under Calothrix sp. PCC 7507. Its description in RNAcentral is "Nitrogen stress-induced RNA 8". It matches the Rfam family "Nitrogen stress-induced RNA 8". From Rfam's summary of the family: Transcribed in developing heterocysts. Transcription requires HetR suggestingthat it could be related to the differentiation of heterocysts. The record is from Rfam by way of RNAcentral. Lineage: Bacteria; Bacillati; Cyanobacteriota; Cyanophyceae; Nostocales; Calotrichaceae.
AUAAGAAUUGCUAGGAUUAACUUUAGUUACAACAUUGAACACGGAAUACAUAACCGUUCCUUAUGUUUGUUUACUUGGUAAUCCUCACAACCUAUUGAAUUUUAUUUGUGUAUUUUUUCCAGAGUCCAGGGUGUAUUGCCACUUUCAAGCUAUGGGACGGGGUAAAACCCGUC